This 496-nucleotide ribosomal RNA is filed under the name uncultured bacterium. Its description in RNAcentral is "partial 16S ribosomal RNA". It matches the Rfam family "Bacterial small subunit ribosomal RNA", at positions 28 to 507 of the family's 1533-position model. The record is from RNAcentral.
GAUGAACGCUGGCGGCGUGCCUAAUACAUGCAAGUCGAGCGAACGGACGAGAAGCUUGCUUCUCUGAUGUUAGCGGCGGACGGGUGAGUAACACGUGGAUAACCUACCUAUAAGACUGGGAUAACUUCGGGAAACCGGAGCUAAUACCGGAUAAUAUUUUGAACCGCAUGGUUCAAAAGUGAAGACGGUCUUGCUGUCACUUAUAGGUGGAUCCGCGCUGCAUUAGCUAGUUGGUAAGGUAACGGCUUACCAAGGCAACGAUGCAUAGCCGACCUGAGAGGGUGAUCGGCCACACUGGAACUGAGACACGGUCCAGACUCCUACGGGAGGCAGCAGUAGGGAAUCUUCCGCAAUGGGCGAAAGCCUGACGGAGCAACGCCGCGUGAGUGAUGAAGGUCUUCGGAUCGUAAAACUCUGUUAUUAGGGAAGAACAUAUGUGUAAGUAACUGUGCACAUCUUGACGGUACCUAAUCAGAAAGCCACGGCUAACUACGUG